This 292-nucleotide ribosomal RNA is filed under the name uncultured bacterium. RNAcentral's name for it is "partial 16S ribosomal RNA". It matches the Rfam family "Bacterial small subunit ribosomal RNA", at positions 505 to 796 of the family's 1533-position model. The record is from RNAcentral.
GUGCCAGCCGCCGCGGUAAGACGAACCGUGCGAACGUUGUUCGGAAUCACUGGGCUUAAAGGGCGCGUAGGCGGCUUGUCAAGUCAGGGGUGAAAUCCUGCAGCUUAACUGUAGAAGUGCCUUUGAUACUGAUGAGCUCGAGGGAGGUAGGGGUGGGUGGAACUUCUGGUGGAGCGGUGAAAUGCGUUGAUAUCAGAAGGAACGCCGGUGGCGAAAGCGACCCACUGGAUCUCUACUGACGCUGAGGCGCGAAAGCUAGGGGAGCAAACGGGAUUAGAUACCCUUGUAGUCC